RNAcentral lists this ribosomal RNA (371 nucleotides) under Habrosyne pyritoides. Its description in RNAcentral is "partial 28S ribosomal RNA". Lineage: Eukaryota; Metazoa; Arthropoda; Insecta; Lepidoptera; Drepanidae. The record is from RNAcentral.
CGUGCGCCUCGAUGUCGCGUCGGCUUCGGUCGCGCGACACGGGUCGCGUACGUCGACGUCCGUGGACGGCGUGCACUUCUCCCUCAGUACGACAUCGCGACCCGUUCGAUGUCGGUCUAAGCGCCGUUCGGGAGCCCCAUAGUGCGCCCUCGCGGGACACUGUGGGACCGUGACGUGCGCCGACCGGCCGUCGGACGGUAUCAUUCACGAAACGCGCACGCGUGUACACAUACAGCGCGUCCGGCCCGACGCAAGGCAACGUCGUAUCCUACGUCCUGCCCGAGUGCGGACGUCGGUGCGGCGCGCCUGUCGUCGCUGCCGUGCAGUCUCGGACAUGUGCGCGUCUCGGUCUGCGAUGAUCAGUCGGCUCC